AGCAGCCGCGGUAAUUCCAGCUCCAAUAGCGUAUAUUGAAGUUGUUGCAGUUAAAAAGCUCGUAGUUGAAUUUCGGGGUUCUACCGUUGGUCGGGCUUUGUCUGUACUGGCGUGUAGAAUUUCUACCUUCUGGGGAACCAUCAUGUUAUUAAUUUAACGUGGUGGGAAACCAGGACCUUUACCUUGAAAAAAUUAGAGUGUUCAAAGCAGGCUUAUGUCUGAAUACAUUAGCAUGGAAUAAUAAAAUAGGACGGUGGUCCUGUUUUGUUGGUUUCUGAAUCACCGUAAUGAUUAAUAGGGAUAGUUGGGGGCAUUAGUAUUCAAUUGUCAGAGGUGAAAUUCUUGGAUUUAU
Molecule: ribosomal RNA, 352 nt
Filed under: uncultured Racocetra
Lineage: Eukaryota; Fungi; Glomeromycota; Glomeromycetes; Diversisporales; Gigasporaceae
Description: SSU rRNA
Rfam family: Eukaryotic small subunit ribosomal RNA
Source: RNAcentral